Rhinolophus ferrumequinum (greater horseshoe bat) is the source of this 1106-nucleotide long non-coding RNA. RefSeq lists it as uncharacterized. The transcript is spliced from 3 exons. The record is from RefSeq and is a predicted model, not a curated record. NCBI's taxonomy places the organism in Eukaryota, Metazoa, Chordata, Mammalia, Chiroptera, Rhinolophidae.
UUCUCUUUUGGCUACUGUUUGCAGAGAAUAUCUUUUUUCAUUCUUUUACGUUCAACUGAUUUAUAUCUUUGAAUCUAGUGAGUCACCUGUAAAUUCAUAGUUCAAUCAGGGUGUGAGAAAUCCAUGAGGUUUGAUAAGUAAAUCUAUCAAAGCUCUGGAUCUCUAUUGUGUGCUUCCAUUUAUAUAAAGUACAGGAAUAGGCACAGGUGACCUGCACUGACACACUCAGGGAGUUAUCCCUGGGAGGAGUGGGUGCACAGAGUAUGAGGGUUUUGGGGGGCUGCCCUCAGUUGCUUCUCAUUUGGAUGGUGGCUGCUCGUGUUCAGUUUGCAAAAAUCUAGCCAGAGGAUACUUGUUUGUGUUGGACACUUGUUUGCAUUCUUAUGUAUGUGUGCUGUACUUUACUAACAUGUGAGGCUAAAUAAAACAAAUCUGGAUUCUUGAGAUUGAGAUGAACAAAUGGGAUGCUGGUGUAUGUGUGUGAUCGAUUCCUAUUGUUCUCUCCUAGUAGGCCCAUGCAGGAGUGUGCUCACAGUACCCAUGCAGGGAGGCCUUUUCUGGGCGUGAGGCACUGUGGCACUGCCUCUUCCUGUUUAGGGGGAGGAGCUCUGUGGGGAAUGGGGGGCCGUUACCCCUGGGACCUGGUCUUACAAAGGUGAAGUCACAGGAGCCAUCGUGCUUGCCCACAAGAAACCUGACAAAAUGACAACACACAGACCUUACAGUUCUGCUGUCUGGCCACAGCUGAAAGGACAGAGGCCAGGCCGUGGCCUGGCUCCCAGAGCUUGAUUAUAAUGACAGCGCUAGAGCCGCAUUAGCAACACUCGUCGACUGGGCAUCUGCCACAUGCUGGACACCUAGGGCUGGAAGAAACAUCGUAACCGCUGAGCAAGGAACUGCAGUCCUCAACCUGUAGAAGAGAAACUGAGGCUCAGAGAGGGUGAACGUGCUUUUGAGAUGAUGACAAACAGGUAACUCUUUUACGUGGAUCUAUUCAUUCCUGGGAUCAGUGAGCAGGAGUUUGGACAGCAAAGGAUGCCAUGUUACCCAAAUCUCUGCUUUCUGGACAGGAUGGUGAAGGCAACGUGCUCUCACUGCUAAGGUAC